UGGUGAUGUGUGUACAUCAGAUAACUGAUCAGUAGCUUAGUUCAACUAAACUGCCCCCAAAACCGACCGGUUCUCUAUCUCUCUCUCUCUCGCUUUCUCAAUUCUCAAACUCUAUCAUUUCGUUCUGAUUUUCGCUGUCGAAUUGUUUGCUGGAUCUUCAGGAAAAUGGGUCUUGCAAGUUUUGCUUUUUGGGCCACGGUUUACACUGAUCAAGAUUUGGGCCAUGGUUUACACUGAUCAAGAUUUGGGCCAUGUGAACAAUGUUUAUUUUUGUAUUUUUAGCCUAACAAGAAUGAGAUAGCAAAGGCUACGGAACUUAUUAAGAUAAUGGUUGACAAGGGUUUUUCAGCAAAUGCAACCACUGCAUCCAUGUUGGUUGACUUGCUAUCUACAAAUCCAGCAGAUAAAGCACUUUAGACUUUGCCGGUCAAUCUAUAAGGUGUAUGUAUAUUUGUUGGAAGUGGUUAUUUACUUUUUGUGAA
This is a long non-coding RNA of Quercus robur (English oak), 482 nucleotides long. RefSeq lists it as uncharacterized. NCBI's taxonomy places the organism in Eukaryota, Viridiplantae, Streptophyta, Magnoliopsida, Fagales, Fagaceae. The transcript has 2 exons. The record is from RefSeq and is a predicted model, not a curated record.